UUUCAUCAGAAUGCUUAACAUUUUCUCUCUCUAAACAAAAAAACAAGCGAUACUGCGAUACAGAGAAAGGGAAGGAAAAAAAAAAAACCUUGCAAUCCAGUGAAGAAUCGUGCGAUCAAACGUUCGUCCUAGAGGUAUUGAGAGAGAGGCGAUGAAAUCGUGAGAGAGGCUAUGAAGACACGGAGAAAGAAACAGAAAAAGAGAGAAGCGAUGAAGACACGGUGAAACAAAAAGAAAAAGAGAGAGGCGAUCCUGGUACACGGAGAAAGAAGAGAUCGCCUCUCUGUUUCUGACAGAUUGCCUCUCUGCCCACAACAACGCCUCUGAUGGGUUCUAUUCUUUCUCUGAUUCUUUUAUAGAGAUAGAAAUAGGGAGAGAGAGGCGAUGAGGCCUGAGACACGGAGAAAGAAACAGAGAAAGAGGCAGAGUUCAUUUUCCCCACCACCGUCUGCUCCCUUUCCAGAUUUAGACCACCAGAUCGCCAGAACCGACAUUGACAACGUGGCUGAAAAGCACUUAGCAUCAAAAAAGGAUUAAAGGUAACAUCCUAACAAACCUGCAAGAUAGCCUGAAGGGGAUAUUUUGUGUAGUUGAGAGGGAAUUAGUAGCUGGAAUGUGGAUGGAUUUGGGGACUACUACCUCCGUCUUGGCUCAUCAGAUAUAUAUUGAGUACCUACUUUACAAUGAGCAUAAAGCAUGAUAUUAAAUCUAUAUCAAUGAAAAUGGUGUCCUCACACACUAUAUAUAAAAGAAACUGAGGAAACAUUAAAUUUUUAUAGUUAUAUUUUUCCCAUUUCUUUCAUUCCUGUUGUAAUAGAGAAAUAGAGCUAAGUUAAACAUGCAAAGGGUUAAACUUUAUUUGAA
Quercus robur (English oak) is the source of this 864-nucleotide long non-coding RNA. RefSeq lists it as uncharacterized. The transcript is spliced from 3 exons. The record is from RefSeq and is a predicted model, not a curated record. Lineage: Eukaryota; Viridiplantae; Streptophyta; Magnoliopsida; Fagales; Fagaceae.